Molecule: long non-coding RNA, 628 nt
Filed under: Zonotrichia albicollis (white-throated sparrow)
Lineage: Eukaryota; Metazoa; Chordata; Aves; Passeriformes; Passerellidae
Description: lncRNA (ENSZALG00000013118.1)
Source: RNAcentral
CUGGAUUAUUUCAGGAGAGAUGAUGGUGCCUAGAAGUGAAAUUUGCAUCUCCUGGCUUCCAGAACAGGGUGGUUUUCUUGAGAAGGGCAGGUUCCGGAGGCAGCCUGGGAAAACACAACCUGGAGAAUGAGUUGUUUUGGGUGGAGAAUGGCUUUUGCCAGGAUUUAUGCUGCCUUUAUGGAGACACAAGGAAUUCUUCUGACAAUUUAAGUCCCUGAACUGAAGUGCUCAGCAGUGGUUGGGAUUGCAGGUGGCAGCCGUGGCAGUGAUGGAUUUUCACCUCAUUCCUGCACCAGGGGCUCUCAGUCACUCAGGGCCUGAAUGUUGGUGCAGUUCCCAAGAUGAGGCUCAAAAUCGAUCCCUGGAGUGGGAACUUCUGCACAGCCUUGGAAAUGGGACCCAGGGAGGAAACUGUGGCCAAGGAGAGAUCUUGGUGUCCAGGUUGAAGGUGUUGGAAGCUGCCAGAGCCACUGAUUCCAAUUUGUGUUUCUCCAUCUGCAUGGAAAAUCCAUCUGCUUGCAGAAAUUGUAUUUACACAGCCCAUAAUCCUGAGCAGCCUCAGAUAUUGGGGAUUGAGGCUCUAACGACAUUGGAAACCAUUUUUAUUAAGAGGCAGAAAUUGAAUUAG